This 395-nucleotide ribosomal RNA is filed under the name uncultured bacterium. RNAcentral describes it as "bacterial SSU rRNA". It matches the Rfam family "Bacterial small subunit ribosomal RNA", at positions 28 to 417 of the family's 1533-position model. The record is from RNAcentral.
GACGAACGCUGGCGGCGUGCUUAACACAUGCAAGUGGAGCGACGAACCAGGCUUCGGCCUGGGGCAGAGCCGCGAACGGGUGAGUAACACGUGGGUAACCUGCCCUGAUGACUGGGACAACCCGGGGAAACCCGGGCUAAUACCGGAUGUGCUGCUCUCACAUCAGUGAGAGUAGGAAAGGAAGCUUCGGCCUCCGCAUCAGGAUGGGCCCGCGGCCCAUUAGCUUGNGGUGAGGUAACGGCUCACCAAGGCUUCGAUGGGUAGCUGGUCUGAGAGGACGAUCAGCCACACUGGGACUGAGACACGGCCCAGACUCCUACGGGAGGCAGCAGUGGGGAAUCUUGCGCAAUGCGCGAAAGCGUGACGCAGCAACGCCGCGUGGGGGAAGACGGCCU